CCUACGGGGGGCUGCAGUGGGGAAUAUUGGACAAUGGGGGGAACCCUGAUCCAGCCAUGCCGCGUGUGUGAAGAAGGCCCUCGGGUUGUAAAGCACUUUCAGUGAGGAAGAACGCCUGGUGGUUAAUACCCAUCAGGAAAGACAUCACUCACAGAAGAAGCACCGUCUAACUCCGUGCCAGCAGCCGCGGUAAUACGGAGGGUGCGAGCGUUAAUCGGAAUUACUGGGCGUAAAGCGCGCGUAGGUGGCUUGAUAAGCCGGUUGUGAAAGCCCCGGGCUCAACCUGGGAACGGCAUCCGGAACUGUCAAGCUAGAGUGCAGGAGAGGAAGGUAGAAUUCCCGGUGUAGCGGUGAAAUGCGUAGAGAUCGGGAGGAAUACCAGUGGCGAAGGCGGCCUUCUGGACUGAUACUGACACUGAGGUGCGAAAGCGUGGGUAGCAAACAGGAUUAGAUACCCGUGUAGUC
RNAcentral lists this ribosomal RNA (465 nucleotides) under Vreelandella stevensii. RNAcentral's name for it is "partial 16S ribosomal RNA". It matches the Rfam family "Bacterial small subunit ribosomal RNA", at positions 338 to 795 of the family's 1533-position model. The record is from RNAcentral. Lineage: Bacteria; Pseudomonadati; Pseudomonadota; Gammaproteobacteria; Oceanospirillales; Halomonadaceae.